This 1344-nucleotide ribosomal RNA is filed under the name metagenome. RNAcentral's name for it is "bacterial LSU rRNA". It matches the Rfam family "Bacterial large subunit ribosomal RNA", at positions 1564 to 2912 of the family's 2925-position model. The record is from RNAcentral.
UGAGUGCGAGCUGCUACGGCAGCGAAGUAGGUGAUGUCAUGCUUCCAAGAAAAGCCCUAUACCCGUUAAGGCAUCAUGGCCUGUACCCGAAACCGACACAGGUGGGGUGGUAGAGAAUACCGAGGGGCGCGAGGUAACUCUCUCUAAGGAACUCGGCAAAAUGGCCCCGUAACUUCGGGAGAAGGGGUGCCACCGCAAGGUGGUCGCAGUGAAGAGGCCCAGGCGACUGUUUACCAAAAACACAGGUCUCCGCUAAGUCGCAAGACGAUGUAUGGGGGCUGACGCCCGCCCAGUGCCGGAAGGUUAAGGAAGCUGGUCAGCGCAAGCGAAGCUAGCGACUGAAGCCCCGGUGAACGGCGGCCGUAACUAUAACGGUCCUAAGGUAGCGAAAUUCCUUGUCGGGUAAGUUCCGACCCGCACGAAAGGCGUAACGAUCUGGGCGCUGUCUCGGAGAGAGGCUCGGCGAAAUAGAAUUGUCUGUGAAGAUGCGGACUACGUGCACCCGGACAGAAAGACCCUAUGAAGCUUUACUGUAGCUUGGUAUUGUGCCCGGGCUCGCAAUGCGCAGGAUAGGUGGGAGGCUUUGAUCAUCGGCUUGCGGGUCGAUGUGAGCCAACGGUGAGAUACCACUCUUUGCGAGCUAGGGUUCUAACGGCCACCCGUCAUCCGGGGGCCGGACAGUACCUGGUGGGCAGUUUGACUGGGGCGGUCGCCUCCUAAAAGGUAACGGAGGCGCGCAAAGGUUUGCUCAGGCUGGUUGGUAAUCAGCCGACGAGUGUAAAAGCAGAAGCAAGCUUGACUGUGAGACCAACAAGUCGAACAGGGAGGAAACUCGGCUUUAGUGAUCCGACGGUUCUGAGUGGAAGGGCCGUCGCUCAACGGAUAAAAGUUACUCUAGGGAUAACAGGCUGAUCUCCCCCAAGAGUUCACAUCGACGGGGAGGUUUGGCACCUCGAUGUCGGCUCAUCGCAACCUGGGGCUGAAGUCGGUCCCAAGGGUUGGGCUGUUCGCCCAUUAAAGCGGUACGCGAGCUGGGUUCAGAACGUCGUGAGACAGUUCGGUCCAUAUCCGGUGCACGCGCAGGAAUAUUGAGAGGAUUUCUCCCUAGUACGAGAGGACCGGGAGGAACGCACCUCUGGUGUACCAGUUAUCGUGCCAACGGUAAACGCUGGGUAGCCAUGUGCGGAGUGGAUAACCGCUGAAAGCAUCUAAGUGGGAAGCCCACCUCAAGAUGAGUAUUCCCAUGGCGUAAGCCAGUAAGGUCACGGGAAGAGCACCCGUUGAUAGGCUCUAUGUGGAAGCGCAGUAAUGCGUGAAGCAGAGGAGUACUAAUAGACCGAGGGC